GACGAACGCUGGCGGCGUGCUUAACACAUGCAAGUCGAACGGAAAGGCCCUGCUUUUGUGGGGUGCCCGAGUGGCGAACGGGUGAGUAACACGUGAGUAACCUGACCUUGACUUUGGGAUAACUUAAGGAAACUGGGGCUAAUAUCGGAUAGGAGCUCCUGCUGCAUGGUGGGGGUUGGAAAGUUUCGGCGGUUGGGGAUGGACUAGCGGCUUAUCAGCUUGUUGGUGGGGUAGUGGCUUACCCAGGCUUUGACGGGUAGCCGGCCUGGGAGGGUGACCGGCCUCAUUGGGACUGAGAUACGGCCCAGACUCCUACGGGAGACAGCAGUGGCGAAUAUUGCACAAUGAUCGGAAGCCUGAUGCAGCAACGCCGCGUUCGGGAUGACGGCCUUCUGGUUGUAAACCGCUUUCGCCUGUGACGAAGCGUGAGUGACGGUAAUGAGUAAAGAAGCACCGGCUAACUACGUG
Molecule: ribosomal RNA, 468 nt
Filed under: uncultured bacterium
Lineage: Bacteria
Description: partial 16S ribosomal RNA
Rfam family: Bacterial small subunit ribosomal RNA
Source: RNAcentral